CAAACAUGGCAUAUCAAGUUGCAAUAAGACUAGGUACUUCCCCUAGUAUUGACUAGAUGAGGUAACCCAGUAGGAAGAAGAAGGUCCCAAAGUAGGCAGAAGAAUCAGAGAUACCCUCACUCCCACUGUGUGAGUUCUACAAGAAUACCACGCUAUACAACCAAAGCAUGUGCAGAGGGCAUAGCUCAAACCCAUGUCAGGCUUUCUGAUUGUCACUUCCAUCUCUGGGAGCCCCUAUGAGCUGUGCUUAGUUAAUUCUGUGAGCUGUGUUCUUGUGGUGUCCUUGACCCCCUCAGAGGGCUUUUUAAUAGUAUAUAUUAUAUGAUUCCUUAGAAGUGUUGAGCAAAUUAUUUAAAGAAGCCUCCUCUAUCAUGUUUAUUCUAAUUGUUGUUUGUUGGGAUAAAUCCACUGAUGUAUGUACUGUAUAGUGCUGUUUUUAAAAGUUAGAUACGUGGUUUUAUGUUGUAGGGAAUAGUUUUUAAAUCUGAUGUUUGGUUGUUUGUAAUGCCUUUUUUUAGCGACUUCAGGAAGAAAUUACUAAACAGUCUCCAACAUUGCAGAGAAAUGCUUUGUACAUCAAAUCUUCUAAGAUCAGCCGGCUACCUGCUUACUUAACUAUUCAGAUGGUUCGAUUUUUUUAUAAAGAGAAAGAAUCUGUGAACGCCAAAGUUCUUA
Molecule: long non-coding RNA, 675 nt
Filed under: Rattus norvegicus (Norway rat)
Lineage: Eukaryota; Metazoa; Chordata; Mammalia; Rodentia; Muridae
Description: long non-coding RNA NONRATT013653
Source: RNAcentral